RNAcentral lists this ribosomal RNA (497 nucleotides) under uncultured bacterium. RNAcentral's name for it is "partial 16S ribosomal RNA". It matches the Rfam family "Bacterial small subunit ribosomal RNA", at positions 28 to 507 of the family's 1533-position model. The record is from RNAcentral.
GAUGAACGCUGGCGGCGUGCCUAAUACAUGCAAGUCGAGCGAACAGAUAAGGAGCUUGCUCCUUUGACGUUAGCGGCGGACGGGUGAGUAACACGUGGGUAACCUACCUAUAAGACUGGAAUAACUCCGGGAAACCGGGGCUAAUGCAGGAUAACAUGUUGAACCGCAUGGUUCUACAGUGAAAGGCGGCUUUGCUGUCACUUAUAGAUGGACCCGCGCCGUAUUAGCUAUUUGGUGAGGUAACGGCUCCCCAAGGCAACGAUGCGUAGCCGACCUGAGAGGGUGAUCGGCCACACUGGAACUGAGACACGGUCCAGACUCCUACGGGAGGCAGCAGUAGGGAAUCUUCCGCAAUGGGCGAAAGCCUGAAGGAGCAACGCCGCGUGAGUGAUGAAGGUCUUCGGAUCGUAAAACUCUGUUAUUAGGGAAGAACAAAUGCGUAAGUAACUGUGCGCGUCUUGACGGUACCUAAUCAGAAAGCCACGGCUAACUACGUG